AAUGUGGCUUAAUGGUAGAGUGCUUGCCUAGCAUGCAAGAAGCCCUGGGUUCAAGUCCUCAGUAUU
Dipodomys ordii (Ord's kangaroo rat) is the source of this 66-nucleotide non-coding RNA. NCBI's taxonomy places the organism in Eukaryota, Metazoa, Chordata, Mammalia, Rodentia, Heteromyidae. The record is from Rfam.